Molecule: non-coding RNA, 3556 nt
Organism: Peromyscus californicus insignis
Lineage: Eukaryota; Metazoa; Chordata; Mammalia; Rodentia; Cricetidae
Source: the annotation of a RefSeq genome assembly
UUGAAUGUAUCUGUGUCCUUGAGAUUAAAGGACAACUUGCACAAAUCAUUGAGACAUUUCCUUCCACCAUGGAUGUUCCAAAUAAACUCACAUUGUCAGGCUUGGAAGCAAGUGCCCCUACAUGCUGAAGCCUCAAUAUACAGUUCCAUGCAUUGAUUCUACCAGGGACAAAUGAAUCCUAGAUUCUCUUUCAUUCCUUUGCCUCCCUCUUGCCCUCCAUCACUCCCUCCCUUCUUCCUCUUCUUCUGGUUCUGGUUCUGGUUCUUCUUCUUCUUCUUCUUCUUCUUCUUCUUCUUCUUCUUCUUCUUCCUCUAUCUCUCUUUCAUUGUUUGUGUCAACAUUGUGUCUAAAGUGUUGUAUUACUUUAUUAAAAAUAAUUUGGUCCCUGAGAGUUGUGACACAUUCCUUUAAUGCCAGCACUCAGAAGGCAGAGUCAGGAAUAUCUCAGGGAGUUUGAGGGCAGCCUGGUCUACAGAGAGAGAGUUCCAGGAAUGCCAGGGAUACAGAGAAAAACCCUUUCUGGAAAAAAAAAUUGAGACAGCAUCUCACUAGAGCACACUAUGUAGGCCAAGUGAUAAAAGCAAAGCAUUCAGACAAAAUAAAACAAUACAAAAAGUGCACACAAAAAACACACACUCAUGGAAUCUGUUCUGUGUUGGCCAGCUAUUCCUGUACAUGAGGCCUGCCCUAGAAUGUGGUUGAUACUUCUAGUAACACUGCAUUGGAGAAAACUGAUUUUCCCUUUUUUAGAAGUUACUUGUUACAGUAAUUGCAGGGCUAACGGUGGAAUUUUUGUCCACUUCCUUUUUCAGAGCUGGUAUUUUAAUUUGGUUUGAACCUGUGCAGGUCUUGUGCAUGCUGUCAUAGUCUCUGUGAGUUCCCAUGUGCAUCAGUCCUGUUGUGUUUGGAAGAUGCUCUUUUAUUGGAGUCAUCUACUACCUCUGGCUCUUACAAUGUUUCCACCUCCUCUUCUGCAUAUUCCCUGAGCAGGGUUUGACAAGGAAAAUCCAUGUAGUGCAACUUCCUUAAACAUGUGUGAGCUUAAGCAGAUUCCAGCAACCCACCUGAUGUCACUCUUGCUCUUGCCCAAUCUCACCGAUGAUAUCUAUCUUGAUUGAUUAACUCUUGUGUAAAUUUAUGGCUGUCCUCAUAUCUGAAAAUCCAUGCCCCUAAAGCCAAGUCAGUUAAAUAUGAUUUUUAUGUCAGCUACGUAGUAGGCGGGAUUCCAUGAGUUUCCUUGGAAGCCAUCACACACAGUCAUUCUUCACUGAUUCUCUUUAAUCCUUAAUUGAGGACAAACUUUCUUUUCCUUUCUAGUGUAUGCAAUUUUGUUUUGUUGUGCCUUGUGAUUUUCUAAAACUUUGUAUUUCUAAUGUAUUAACAGAGUUGUGCAAUAUAGCAGUAAUCUUUCUAGACACCAAUAUUCACUAGUAUGUCUUCUGUGGAACCAUGGAGAGGUUGUUUUCUUGUGAUAUCUGAGGAGGGUCUCAUGGAAGGUAUAUCUGUGCCCUCAGUCUGUAUGGGAGAAGGCCCUAGAUAAGGGGCUCCUCAUGAAUUCAAGUCUACAUACUAUGUUCAGAGAAGGUAAGUCCUUCUGACAUUGAUCAGAAAGUGUUUGAUGAUCACAACCUGGAAGAAGUCACGUGGACACAGACAUGACAGACCUGACCCUGCUCAGUGGGGUCUGUAGGUGACACUGAAGAGUCUGGAGACUUUCAGCUGACAACACAAACAUCGGUCUCUGUGUCUGCUCAGGACUCAACAGGCCCAGCAGUGGGGACACUGUGAUCCCUUGGGAAGCCUCAGGCAGGAAAUGACACCCAGGUUUUUGAUGGCACAGACACCUGAGAAGGGAUUUGAAUGACUAAGAAAAAUUUGCAUGAAGGACCCUGACAGUUCUCUGAGAAUUCUUAAAGGAUUAGAGAGACCUGCACCAUGUCCUUCUCAGCAGAGCUCAGUGGUGUCUGCACCAUGGCCUGGACUCUUCUCCUCUUCUUCCUCCUUCAUUGUACAGGGUCUUUCUCCCAGCUUACGCUGACUCAGUCACCCUCAUCUUCUGCCUCCCUGGGAGCCUCAGUCAAACUCACCUGCACCUUGAGUAGUCAGCACAGCAGCUACUACAUUGAAUGGUACCAGCAACAUCCAGACAAGGCUCCUAAGUAUGUGAAGCAACUUAAGAGUGAUGGAAGCCACAGCAAGGGGGAUGGGAUCCCUGACCGCUUCUCUGGCUCCAGCUCUGGGGCUGAUCGCUACUUAAGCAUCUCCAACAUCCAGCCAGAAGAUGAAGUUGACUACAUCUGUGGUGCUUGAAAUGACCACAGAAGUAACCAUGUAUAGAAACAAACAAAUCAAACAACCCCACCAAAAUAUCUUCAAAAGGCUCCUAUUUUGCAAGGAUCUUGACUCCAUUCUUCUGAACAAGAAUUUCAAGGAAAUGACCUGCAGAAUUAGAGUUUCCUGAAGAAACCUCUGAAGCCAAACUCAUGGGUCAGAAUCCCACAGCAGCAGGUUCCACAAUCUGCUAGGAGACUCCAUGAGUUAACCAACCUUUCUGAGGCCUUACUUAGAAUGGCACAACUUUUUCUCUUUCUUGCUUUUUGGUUCUUUCUUUCUGAUGGUGACCAGACCCUAAAGCCUGCUUUUUCUGAUGCUUUGGGCUUCCUCACUCUCCUCCUAACACUCCCCUCCUCUCAUAUGGCUGAUUGUGUGCUGUAUUAGUUACUUUUCUGUUGCUUUGAUAAAACACAAUGACCAAAGGCAUCUCAUAGAAGGAUGAGUGUUUCAUGGGCUCAUGUAAGUAUCCAUGAUCCUGGGGACGUGGCAGGCGUGGCAACAGAAGAAGCCAGUGGCUUGAAUAUCAAGCAGAAAAAUGGUCAUUGUACAAGGCUUGGAAAUUGCCAACCCCAGUGACUACCUCCUCCAGCAAAAUCACACCUCCUACCUUAUGGAGACAGCACCACUCACUUUGGACCAAGUGUCAAAUGACAGAACCUGUGGGAACAUUCUCACUCAAAUCACCACAUCCACCAUGCAACUGAUCGCCAUGUUGGCUUAAGUCAAAUGCAUGACUUCUUUUCUUUCCCACCUUCUUUCUCGUCUUCAGGGAAGCUGCCAAAAUCUACAGCUUCCUUUCUCUGUGUUGUUAUUUUAAGCUCUAAUAAAAUUGUCUACAAGGUUAAAAAUAACCACUGAAUGAGGGAGGGGAGAAUGGAAGAAACGAGGACAGAGAGAGCCAGAUUGAAAGAGAAGAGAAGGGGAGAAAAGGGGAAGCGGAGAGGGAGAGACAGACAGACAGACAGAUGAACUGAUUCUACUGAUAUUUAAAAUUACUUUUGAAAUAUGUGUGUUAAUUGUGGUCAUUGAGUUGUUGAUUUUUGGUGUCAUUUGGGUUCAGUGUAUUUUGUGUUUUAAUAAUUAUGUCUUCUACCACAGUCUCUAUGCUGUCUUAUUUCUGUACCAAGCCCAAAACAAUGUUUCCUGUAUUUCCUUAUGUUUGUUUUCUUGGUUAUGAUUUUUAUGCUGUUUUCAUCAUGAAAAAUACAGUCAUUGUACAUAG